UGUGAGGGUUGCUGGAGGUAUCAGAAGUGCGAAUGCUGACAUAAGUAACGAUAAAGCGGGUGAAAAGCCCGCUCGCCGGAAGACCAAGGGUUCCUGUCCAACGUUAAUCGGGGCAGGGUGAGUCGACCCCUAAGGCGAGGCCGAAAGGCGUAGUCGAUGGGAAACGGGUUAAUAUUCCCGUACUUGGUGUUACUGCGAAGGGGGGACGGAGAAGGCUAUGUUGGCCGGGCGACGGUUGUCCCGGUUUAAGCGUGUAGGUGUGUGUUCCAGGUAAAUCCGGUUCACUUUAACACUGAGGCGUGACGACGAGGCACUACGGUGCUGAAGCAACAAAUGCCCUGCUUCCAGGAAAAGCCUCUAAGCAUCAGGUAACAUCAAAUCGUACCCCAAACCGACACAGGUGGUCAGGUAGAGAAUACCAAGGCGCUUGAGAGAACUCGGGUGAAGGAACUAGGCAAAAUGGUGCCGUAACUUCGGGAGAAGGCACGCUGACACGUAGGUGAAGUGAUUUACUCAUGGAGCUGAAGUCAGUCGAAGAUACCAGCUGGCUGCAACUGUUUAUUAAAAACACAGCACUGUGCAAACACGAAAGUGGACGUAUACGGUGUGACGCCUGCCCGGUGCCGGAAGGUUAAUUGAUGGGGUCAGCGCAAGCGAAGCUCCUGAUCGAAGCCCCGGUAAACGGCGGCCGUAACUAUAACGGUCCUAAGGUAGCGAAAUUCCUUGUCGGGUAAGUUCCGACCUGCACGAAUGGCGUAAUGAUGGCCAGGCUGUCUCCACCCGAGACUCAGUGAAAUUGAACUCGCUGUGAAGAUGCAGUGUACCCGCGGCAAGACGGAAAGACCCCGUGAACCUUUACUAUAGCUUGACACUGAACAUUGAGCCUUGAUGUGUAGGAUAGGUGGGAGGCUUUGAAGUGUGGACGCCAGUCUGCAUGGAGCCGACCUUGAAAUACCACCCUUUAAUGUUUGAUGUUCUAACGUGGACCCGUAAUCCGGGUUGCGGACAGUGUCUGGUGGGUAGUUUGACUGGGGCGGUCUCCUCCUAAAGAGUAACGGAGGAGCACGAAGGUUGGCUAAUCCUGGUCGGACAUCAGGAGGUUAGUGCAAUGGCAUAAGCCAGCUUGACUGCGAGCGUGACGGCGCGAGCAGGUGCGAAAGCAGGUCAUAGUGAUCCGGUGGUUCUGAAUGGAAGGGCCAUCGCUCAACGGAUAAAAGGUACUCCGGGGAUAACAGGCUGAUACCGCCCAAGAGUUCAUAUCGACGGCGGUGUUUGGCACCUCGAUGUCGGCUCAUCACAUCCUGGGGCUGAAGUAGGUCCCAAGGGUAUGGCUGUUCGCCAUUUAAAGUGGUACGCGAGCUGGGUUUAGAACGUCGUGAGACAGUUCGGUCCCUAUCUGCCGUGGGCGCUGGAGAACUGAGGGGGGCUGCUCCUAGUACGAGAGGACCGGAGUGGACGCAUCACUGGUGUUCGGGUUGUCAUGCCAAUGGCACUGCCCGGUAGCUAAAUGCGGAAGAGAUAAGUGCUGAAAGCAUCUAAGCACGAAACUUGCCCCGA
Molecule: ribosomal RNA, 1557 nt
Filed under: Salmonella enterica
Lineage: Bacteria; Pseudomonadati; Pseudomonadota; Gammaproteobacteria; Enterobacterales; Enterobacteriaceae
Description: partial 23S ribosomal RNA
Rfam family: Bacterial large subunit ribosomal RNA
Source: RNAcentral